UUUCCUACGGGACGCAGCAGUGGGGGAUAUUGCACAAUGGGGGAAACCCUGAUGCAGCGACGCCGCGUGAGUGAAGAAGUAUUUCGGUAUGUAAAGCUCUAUCGGCAGGGAAGAAAAAAAUGACAGUACCUGACUAAGAAGCCCCGGCUAACUACGUGCCAGCAGCCGCGGUAAUACGUAGGGGGCAAGCGUUAUCCGGAUUUACUGGGUGUAAAGGGAGCGUAGGCGGC
Molecule: ribosomal RNA, 230 nt
Filed under: uncultured bacterium
Lineage: Bacteria
Description: partial 16S ribosomal RNA
Rfam family: Bacterial small subunit ribosomal RNA
Source: RNAcentral